UACGUAGGUGGCAAGCGUUGUCCGGAUUUACUGGGCGUAAAGAGCGCGCAGGCGGUCGUUCAAGUCGCGUGUGAAAGCCCCCGGCUCAACUGGGGAGGGUCACGCGAUACUGAUCGACUCGAAGGCAGGAGAGGGUAGUGGAAUUCCCGGUGUAGCGGUGAAAUGCGCAGAUAUCAGGAGGAACACCAAUGGCGAAGGCAGCACUCUGGGACGUGACUGACGCUGAGACGCGAAAGCGUGGGGAGCAAACAGG
This 253-nucleotide ribosomal RNA is filed under the name uncultured bacterium. Its description in RNAcentral is "partial 16S ribosomal RNA". It matches the Rfam family "Bacterial small subunit ribosomal RNA", at positions 524 to 776 of the family's 1533-position model. The record is from RNAcentral.